GACGAACGCUGGCGGCGUGCUUAACACAUGCGAGUCGAACGGAAAGGCCCCUUUGGGGGUACUCGAGUGGCGAACGGGUGAGUAACACGUGAGUAACCUGCCCUUGACUUCGGGAUAACUUCAGGAAACUGGGGCUAAUACCGGAUAGGAAUCCUUGCUGCAUGGGGGGGGUUGGAAAGCUUCGGCGGUUUUGGAUGGACUCGCGGCUUAUCAGCUUGUUGGUGGGGUAGUGGCUUACCAAGGCUUUGACGGGUAGCCGGCCUGAGAGGGCGACCGGCCACAUUGGGACUGAGAUACGGCCCAGACUCCUACGGGAGGCAGCAGUGGGGAAUAUUGCACAAUGGGCGGAAGCCUGAUGCAGCAACGCCGCGGGCGGGAUGACGGCCUUCGGGUUGUAAACCGCUUUCAGCAGGGGCGAAGCUUGUGGUGACGGUACCUGCAGAAGAAGCACCGGCUAACUACGUG
This 465-nucleotide ribosomal RNA is filed under the name uncultured bacterium. Its description in RNAcentral is "partial 16S ribosomal RNA". It matches the Rfam family "Bacterial small subunit ribosomal RNA", at positions 28 to 507 of the family's 1533-position model. The record is from RNAcentral.